UACGAAGGGGGGCUAGCGUUGCUCGGAAUUACUGGGCGUAAAGCGCACGUAGGCGGCUUCGCAAGUCGGAUGUGAAAUCCCUCGGCUCAACCGAGGACGUGCAUACGAAACUGCGGAGCUUUGAGUGCUGAAGAGGAUCGCGGAAUUCCCGGUGUAGAGGUGAAAUUCGUAGAUAUCGGGAGGAACACCAGUGGCGAAGGCGGCGAUCUGGGCAGACACUGACGCUGAGGUGCGAAAGCGUGGGGAGCGAACAGG
This 255-nucleotide ribosomal RNA is filed under the name uncultured bacterium. RNAcentral describes it as "partial 16S ribosomal RNA". It matches the Rfam family "Bacterial small subunit ribosomal RNA", at positions 524 to 776 of the family's 1533-position model. The record is from RNAcentral.